Molecule: ribosomal RNA, 406 nt
Filed under: uncultured bacterium
Lineage: Bacteria
Description: partial 16S ribosomal RNA
Rfam family: Bacterial small subunit ribosomal RNA
Source: RNAcentral
AUCGAACGCUGGCGGCAGGCCUAACACAUGCAAGUCGAACGAGUGGCGGACGGGUGAGUAAUGUCUGGGAAACUGCCUGAUGGAGGGGGCUAACUACUGGAAACGGUAGCUAAUACCGCAUACCAUCGGAUGUGCCCAGAUGGGAUUAGGUAGUUGGGGGGGUAACGGCUCACCUAGGCGACGAUCCCUAGCUGGUCUGAGAGGAUGACCGGCCACACUGGAACUGAGACACGGUCCAGACUCCUACGGGAGGCAGCAGUGGGGAAUAUUGCACAAUGGGCGCAAGUCUGAUGCAGCAAUGCCGCGUGUAUGAAGAAGGCCUUCGGGUUGUAAAGCACUUUCAGCGGGGAGGCGGUAUCUGAAGAAGAAGCACCGGCUAACUACGUGCCAGCCGCCGCGGUAAUAC